UCUUCUCUAUAUUUCUACUCCUUGCUUUCUGAAACAACUUUGAGUUCUCUUCGAGGUUUCAAGUGUUCUGCUGAAAUUUGAGUUUGUUCCUGCUGUUUUACUUACUGUGAUUGCUCUAUUAUUCUGCUUAUUCUUACUUUGCAACUGGUAUGUUCUUCCUAGUUGAAUAAUGCUCCUUCACUAUAUGUUUACAUCCUAGUCUGUUAUGCUUUCUUUCACUAUGUUUCUACCAUUACUGUACUUAUGUGAAUCCCUUACCCCUUACCCGUUUCCCCUUUGUGUGUGAUUUGUGGUUCCAACCAUAGCAACACUUUAAUAUUGUUGUCUAUGACUCUGAACUGGGUUCUUUGAACUCCCUUCUUAAUCAAUUCCCACUUCCCUUUUCCCCUUUAUGUGUUUGAGACUUGACUUGGAUCUGGUGGUGCCCUAAUCACUAUCCAAACUUAGGUUUGACCUUCAAAGGUCUGCUCCUAACUUGCUUAACCCAAACAAGUGGUCAGGGGUGUGCCAGUCUGCAUUUGUGGAUGGGUAUGACCACCAUUUGUUAAGGUUCCCCAUUUCCUUUUGCACUUUGCACUUACUCCUAGCUUUAAGUUCUUCCCCUCUCUUGCAAGCCAUGCUUUGGGACCCUUGAGCUUCCUCUGAACUUGGAUGCCUGAGAGCUGGUUAUUUCACACUGCACUACUCUAAUUCUAAAUGGCAUCCUGAGUGUGACAAAUGUCGGGAAUCCUUGAGACUCCCUGGAACUUUGAAACACUUUGGAUAAAGAAUAGGCUUUGAAAAUCUGGAUUCUGGAAUUGGUUAAUCACAUGUUGUUAGACAUUAAGAUUGAAUUAGGCAGUUUGGAUCUAGCUGUUGGUGUUUGAUGUAUUUUAUAUCUUUUUCUGGUUUGUAAUAACGUAUAUAAAACUAGGGGAGUAUAGUAAAAAGGUGUGGAGGGGUUUUACUUUCUUGCAUCAGUAAGGGUAGGUAUCAUGCUCUAAGACUUUAAUUUUCUGACUAGGAAUCCUGCCUACAAGUCUGUCCAAUAUUUCUAAUUCAAUCACCUAGAAAUCAUGCCUAUAGGGUUUAACGUUCAUAUUCUAUAAUUAAAGCAUAUAGAGAUCAUGCCAAUAGGAUAUGCAUAUUCAUUAGGCAAAACUUUAGGAUUAAUUAUAUAAGCAUCCUUUUCAUAAGUUCAUUAACAAGUUCUGAAAAUCAGUAACGUAGUAUCAUGCAUAUAGGAUUUGUAUCAAACUCGUUUUGCCCGUUUUAAACAGUAACAAUUGGCUAAUUAGUUCUUAACACCUUAACUCAGUCACGUUUUUUGAAACUUUAUCUUUUCGAUAAAAACGUGUCUCAAAUCAGUGCACACUUUCUUUGAAACCUACUUCUUUUCUUAAAUGGUUUAUUUUCUAAUAUUCUGCCUAAAUAUUUUCCAACUAAAUUCCAGUUUUCCUGAACUUGUUUAAAUCAAUUCUGCAGUUUACUCUUUCCUUGAGAAAAGUUCUAAUUUCUGAAUACACUUUUACAAUCAUUUAUGUAUUUCAUACUUGAGCAGUCUACUGACUUUCUUUGAAACUUAUUUCUAAAACUAAGUCUGAAAGUCUUUUUUGCUUCCAUUAAAAACUUUUCUUCGUCAGUCAUCUUCUGUAAUUAGUGCCUUCUAAAUAACUCGCAUAAAAUACCUUAAUUUCUGACAAUUGUAUCCAAAUUGCCUAAUGCAGACUUUCUAUCUAAAUAUAUGUGUUAAACCAGUCCGUUCGGCGCUUAAUUUUAAUUUAAGACCAAAUCAGUAAGUGCACGGCAUACUAAACUAUAUGUGUUAUCUAUUUUAAGGGGUUUCUUUGAGCCUUGUUUAUUUUCUUGUUCUUUCCCCUACUUGGUGUUUGUUUUCAUUGACGAGUUAGACUUUUAUCCUUUGAAAUUCCAUAAAAGCCCCAUCCCUUUCUUCCUCUUUUAGGAUUAGAAGUCCUAAUACCCCAGGACUGAUAGUUUGAGACAGGUACUAGCAUACAAUAAGUAAUCGAGACUAAACGCAUUUUAAUACCUUAACGGGGUGGGAAGGGUAGAAUAUGGAUAUGACUGCUAAUAUCACGUGUGAUCCCUCUUCUGAGGAGUGAUUGCUAGAUAUUGCAUUGAUGUGAUCCAUAUUAUGUUUAAACCUAGGACCCCCUUUUUUCCCUUUAUUUGUUAUGUUUCAUUCAAGUUUUCUCUCUUUUAAAGUAAUGUUCUCAAAUCUCUCGUUUUAUUCUUCUCUUUUAACCUUUUUUUUUUAUAUAUUCACAAUAUUUUCUUUAAAUCCUGUUUCCUUUCAAUUAACACCUUUUCUAAAAAAACUGUCUAUUCCUUCUCUCUUUUAAAAGCUUUAUACUUAUUUGUGAUGACUAUGUGCAAACCUUAUUUGUUUCUUUGAUCUUCUUAAAGUUAUAAUUAUAGCAUGUCUAGGAACCACACUAGUGGAUCUUGAGGGGGGCCUAACACAUUCCCCUAGGGAUAAUCUCUAAGCCCUUACCCGAACUCUGGUUUCCUUCUUCUCAAAUUCUUCAUCUCUUUAAAGUGUCAUACUGCACUAUAAUCAUUAGGUGGAGGCUAUCCAAAAUCCAAAACCCAAUUCUCGCAAGGGAAUAAAGAAUUGUCCUCCCAUAAUGUCGUUUACCCGAUUUACGAACUAUGGAAAGAGGGGACGUCGACAGCAUGGCGACACUGCUGGGGAUUUCUUUAGGCUUUCUACCAUUACAUGUUAUUUGUGACUUCAUUAUUUAUUUAAUUGCCUUUACUUCUUGCCUUUUAAUUAUUUCAUCCCGAAACUAACUUGGCUCUUUAUGUCUUUUCUUUCCUUUAACUGCUUUCCUUUACUGCUUUAUUAUUUCAAUACCGUUGUAAUUUCGAGCAUUUAUUGUAAUCAUUUAUCUUAUGUACCUGAAAAUACAUGUAAAUUUGCUUCAUUCUUAUAACUGCAUCUGCAACAUCAUACUCCACUCAUACCAAAACAAAUCCUAUAGCGCUUAUAAUGAGUGAUUGCGGUCUUCCGAUAUUAUCACCCCUAAAUUUGGUAAUGGCAUAUUUGCGGUAAAACCAGUCGAUCAACGGUGUAGUCGAUGGUUCUGCGCCUUUCCCUUUUGAGUUGUCCACUCAAGGGUACCAGUCUAGCACUUCAAAAGUAGAAACCUUACUCCGUUAAACUAUCCAUGCAUCAUGGUCAAACCUAGUCGGGUUAGUUAUGCUGUCCGCAUAAUGACUCAUUAAGAUAGCCUAGUCCAAAGUCCAUCGGGUUUUCCUGAAACCCAAAAGGACACCUCCAUAUUUGGUGCAUUUAUACAGAGAACGAAAAUGCCUAUUAUGUUAAUUAUUGAUCUAAAUAGUCAAGUCUGGGUCUAACUCUUUGUUUUUCAGAAAAUGAGGCACGAAGUCCCCAGAUUCGGUAUGGUAACCAACAUUCACCCAAGGCUGCUAAGCUGGUGGAAGGACCUUCAUGCUAGCAACCAAACCCUUGUCAGCAAAUACUUAGGAAAUUUGCCAUCACUUCGGGAAAUCCAGCCUGACAACAAAAUCGUAGAGGCUGCAACUUUGUUCUGGGAUAGUGAUCGGUCAGUAUUUUGCUUCGGGGAUUUGGAAAUGACUCCUUUACUGGAAGAAAUAGGGGGUCUAGCUGGUAUUUCUUGGGAGACUCCGGGUCUGCUUAUGCCAGAAAAAUCGCAAAGGUAGAGGCUUUAAUAAGAUGAUGGGACUCAAUAAAAACCCGAAUAUGACUUGUCUGAAAAACUCCUACAUACCAUUUGACUGCUUGUACGAGAGAUAUGGCCAUAUCAAGUCCUACCACACCUACAUUGAUGUGUUUGCCCUUACCUCUUUAGGGCACAUCCACAGAAGGGUUUUCAUCUUCAUUUUCUAUUUCCUGGGGAUGAUAGUCUUUCCUAUGAAGAACGCUAGGAACCACACCAUACUAGCCAUGGUAACCAAAACCUUAAUGGAAGGGAUUGACGGGCAGUAUUUCAACAUAAUGCCCAUGAUUGUCGCCGUGAUAUAUCGAGCCUUGGGAAAGUGUCAGCAAGGAGUCAAGCACUUUGAAGGGUGCAAUCUGCUACUUCAACUUUGGCUUAUAGAACAGCUUCAGAAAGGUGAUUACCGACAGGAGAUCAUACGCAGGGAUUGGGAUGAUCAUAUCGCUUUCCACCACCCAAAUCGAAUGAACUUCAUGCCUAACAUGUUCGCUCAACCAGAGGAAGCUGGAGGAUGGGUAGAGAUAUUUGAGAAUCUAAAGGAAGAUCAAGUGCAGUGGAUGUACGAGUGGUUCCGACCAGGGGAAUUCAUUGUUCGUUCUCGGGAUGCACCAUUCCUCGUACUCAUCGGUCUAAGGGGAACUUAUCCUUAUGUCCCUCUCCGAGCCAUGAUGCAAGCUGGGAGGAAGCAAAUCAUACCAAAGGUGGACAUAGUGAGUCACUUCAGGGCCGACUUUCAGGACGAUGAUAGCCCUCACAGGUGUCAAGCUCAGCAUAUGUGGCAUUGCAAACUCGUCUUGGGGAGAGAAACUAUUGAGGCAGACAAGUAUCACGCUGGGUGUGUGCCACACUACUCAGGUUGGUUGGAAGAUAAUCUCACUGGUUUGGGUCAUUCUGGGUUCAUCCGAGGUCAUAAGUUUAUUGAUGAAAAGGAUGAAGCGCAAGUUAAGUACAAUCAACUGCGCAAAUGGAUUCGAGAGUGUGAAAAUGAACACCGGGAAAUACAAGAAGCUCACCAGAAAUUGAUCGACGAGUGUAAGGAUAUGGUUGUCAAUGCCAACAAGCGGUUGGGGUAUCUGGAACAAGGUCUAGUAGAGCUGGAAGGAAAGUUCUUGAAGAGGAUUGAAGACCGCCAGAAUGCCGAGGGAAGUCCAGGUAGACAUCUGGCCCGAGCCUAUCUGCUUCUAGGACUGCGCGAGUUGAUGCAGCUGUAUGAGGAUGGCGAGAAUACCAAAUCUGGGGAAGGUCCUUCUAGACCAAGUAGUUAGGAUCUUUUAUUUCCUGCUUUCAUAAUGUUAUAAGGCCACUAGCCAUUAGUGACGUCUUUAUUUCCUAUAUUUCAAAAUGCAUUAUUUAGACUCGUCUUAUUUUUAUCAAUAAAUCGAGGCAUUUAGCAUUUAAAGUUCCCCAAAUUUAAUUUGUAGCUAGGCCUACCUCGGGCACAAUGAGGCACCCAAAUUAGGAAACGACUUAUAUUCCUGCACAACGUGUUUAAAUAUUGCAAUAUUCUCUUUCUCUUAAUCCGUACUAACUUUUUACCUUUUGUUUUUCUUUUAUUUUAUUCCCUUCUCCAAAGGUUAGUUCAUGCAUUCUGGCACCAUCAGCAUACUCUACAAGAUCCAAGGGCCCUCCACCUUCUCUUCCUCUGAGUCCUAUCAGAAACAAGAACAAAGGCAGAAUGGGAGACGCAGUUCUAGAAAGGAAAUGGAUAGGGAGGAAACAUCUGAGGGUACCCCGAUUUCCAAGGGAACUGCUGCUCAAAUUGAACAGAAACUUCUGAAAUUCCAGGAGGAAUUGGACCAAGUUCGAAAUUUGGCAAGACUAUCAUUUUCUCUUUCUGCUCAUGAUACCAACACUCAAAACCCCCUACCUCCACAAGACACCCCACAACCACAAAUGCAACCCACUCAUGCUCAAACCCGCUACACAUGGCAUGCUCCCAAUAACACUCCACUGCUCAUUCCUGAACCACCAAACACUACAAACGACAACCUCCACAAUGCUCCUAUCUUUGCGUACACUACACCCCCACUACAGUCAACCAAUCGCAAGUGCUUCGGAAUCAUACAACAAAGACUCCCUUAUUAGGAACUUGGUCGCGGAACUCCAGAAGCUGAAUAACCGGGUCCAGGGUGUCGAAGGUAGCAAAGGUAGAAGGAUUGAAUUAUGAGGACCUCUGCAUUCAGCCAGAUGUCGAGCUUCCGGAGGGGUACAAACCUCCCAAGUUAGAAAUAUUCGAUGGUACACGUGAUCCAAGGUCCACCUAAGGACAUACUGUGAUAAGUUGGUCGGAGUUGGAAUAGAUGAGAAAAUCCACAUGAAGUUGUUCAUGAGGAGUCUGAAAGGAGACACCUUAUCUUGGUAUAUCAGCCAUGACACAAAGAAAUGGACAAGCUGGGUAGGUAUGGCAUCCGACUUUAUGGGCCAGUUCAGGUUUAACACAGAGAAUGCACCAGAUGUAUUUUAUAUCCAAAAUCUGAAAAAGGAACCCAAAGAAACAUUCCGCGAGUAUGCUACUCGUUAGAGGUCAGAAGCUGCCAAGGUCAGGCCGGCCUUAGAAGAAGAGCAGAUGAACAGGUUCUUUGUCCGGGCUCAGGAUCCACAAUAUUAUGAAAGGUUGAUGUUGAUAGAAGGUCAGAAAUUCUCCGAUAUCAUCAAGUUGGGAGAAAUAAUUGAAGAAGGAAUCAAGAAUGGUAUGGUCACUAAUCUCGAAGCAUUACAGGCCACCAACAAGGCUUUACAGUCUGGCCUUAGAAGAAGAGCAGAUGAACAGGUUCUUUGUUCGGGCUCAGGAUCCAUAAUAUUAUGAAAGGUUGAUGCUGAUAGAAGGUUAGAAAUUCUCCGACAUCAUCAAGUUGGGAAAAAGAAUUGAAGAAGGCAUGAAAAAUGACAUGGUCACUAAUCUUGAAGCAUUACAGGCCACCAACAAAGCCUUACAAUCUAGUGGUACGUCAAAGAAGAAGGAGGUGAACUCCGUAAUGGCUGCGCAAAGAACCAAAUCCCCAAUGAAAUACCAAACAUACCCUCUAACUCCACUCACAUAUCAGCCUUCCCUGAAUUACCAGGCACCCUCAUCCACCUACCAAAUUCUACCACCCACCUACCAAUCAUUUACACUGCCCACAUAUCAACCCACCUCACCAAGAUAUUCCCAACCCGCACUCUGUACCAAGCCUAUUAUGCCCAAUCGUCUCAUUACCCAUCACCACCUACUCGCCCAAACUUUCCUCGGCCUAGACCAAAUUUCGACCACCGACCCCCCAGACAAUAUACAACCAUCGCCGAGCCUAUUGACCAACUAUGUGAAAGACUCAGAGCAGCCGGUUACAUUACCCCUAUCCCAGCCAUAACUUCUAGAAUAUCCCUCCCAAUGGAUCAAUCCGAACAAAACUUGCGCAUAUCAUUCCAGAAUGAAAGGUCAUACUAUCGACGAGUGUUGCUCGUUGAAAGAUAAGAUUCAGACCUUGAUUGGUAGUAAGGUCAUUAUAGCAAAGGAGCCUGCUCCUAAUGUCUGCAACAAUCCUCUACCAUACCACAAGGGUAGAGGCAUUCACAUGAUCGAGAUUGAGGAUGAUUGGGACCCCAAAGGGUCAAUUGGAUUGAUUGCAGAAGGGGAUGAACCGAAGAAGCCAACAAUCACCCUCAACCCUAUUGUUGUUCAGAUCCAGCCCUCUGAGGGCAAUGAGGUGAAUAUGUCCAUACCGCUCAAGUUCAAAACGCCUCCUGCAAAGGUGCCAGGACCAAUUUAGGUCAAGUUCGAAGUUCCAAAGGCACCUGCACCCUUUAAAGUUGUUGUGUUUCCCUCGAGGGUGCCUAUCCUGGUUUCCAUGAGAAGACCCUGUUUAAUUCAAACGUCAUACCUUGGGAUUACACAGCGGAAGCUAGGAGAAAAGGGAAAUCAAAGAGUGGAGAAGCGAUCGUUGCAUAGGGCAUGACCAGAACCGGCAAGGUAUACGCUCCAGAACACUUAUCUGAGUCCAGCAAGCAAGCCUUUGGACGACCUGUUGAAACUGGACCCAAUGAUCUCUGGAGGAAAAUACAAUCUAAAGAAUACUCGGUCGUGGAGCAAUUGAACAAAACUCCAACAUGUAUUUCCAUCCUGUCUCUUCUGCAAAUCUAUGAGGCACACAAGAAUGAUCUGAUAAAAAUAUUUAGUGAGGCUUAUGUUCCCAGCAACAUAACUUGAGGCGUAAUGGCAUAUAUGGUAGGACAAGUGGUGGAGAGUCACAAGAUCACCUUCCAUGAGGACGAGCUAUCAUUAGAAGGACUAAGUCACAACAAGGCAUUGCACAUCACCGUGCAAUACGAAGAUUACUUCAUCACUAGAAUCUUGGUCGACGAAGGAUCCAGCCUUAACAUUUGUCCACUAAUAUCUCUCAGAACGUUGGGGAAAGGUUUGCAUGAGAUCAAGGAUGAGGAUAUCAAUGUCAAAGCCUUAGAUGGGUCCCAAAGAUCCACCAUUGGGGAAAUCAGCCUGUGUUUGCAGAUGGGACCAACUUGGUUCGAUGUUGACUUUCGAGUGAUAUACGUCCCGGCAUCCUACAAUCUAUUAUUGGGGAGACCCUAGGUCCAUGCCGCAGGAGGUGUAGCAUCAACCCUACAUCAGGCAGUGAAGUUUGAAUGGAAUCACUAAGAGGUGAUUAUUAAUGGCGAUGGUAGCAACCCUAUAUACAUUCGCUAGACCAUCCCAAUGAUUGGAGGAAGAAGGAGAAUAGGCGGGAAAACGUACCACCACAUCGAGUGGGUCAAUGCUAUGGACAAAGACAAAUAGUGGGAAAACAAGAUUGAAAGUAUCCUGAACUGGUGCGGUUAUGAACCCGGAAAAGGACUUGGCAAAAACCUUCAAGGGAUCACCAAACCAAUCAAGCUGAAGAAACACGGUACUACCUUUGGUUUGGGAUAUGAAUACACCUGGGAGGAGUUCAACCAUUGGUCGCCACCGUGGUGCGGCCCAUACUAUCCACUGGAGCACCCUAUACCUUGUCAGAGCAGACUUUCAAGCCAGCUGACAUCAUAUGUGGAUCAGAGGAAGAUGAGGCAUUGGCAGCAAUAAAGAACUUAUUUCUGGAAGAUGAUAUGGACUGUUGUGUUAUCUUCGAGGAGGAAUGGGAGGAAGGCCCUUCCAUAACAGCUGUGAAUCGAGGGGAGCGCCUCACUUAUUGGUCGAUCAAAACUACCAGGGCCCGAAAAGUUUUGGGGUAGCAAGGCUAUACAAGCGCCAUGCAUCGCAUUUUUUACUAGUUGAUUUUUCCUUUCUGCAUUGUCUUUACUUUUGGAAAGAUCUCCGAUGUUUCGAACAAUUAUGAAUUUAAUCAAAGCAUUUCCAAGUUUAAUAUAUAUCUCGCUCUUAUUAUUUUCUCUAUCAUUUACUUUAUUAUAUAACAUUACUAUUACCCAUUUUGAUGAUGAACCAACGAUUGUGACUUGCAACGAGACAAUGCAACAAAUGGAUAUAUAUUCAGAAGAAGUUGUCAGAGAGGUCGUCGAGAACUUUGAAAAUAGGACUAAGGCUAACCUGGAGGAGACCGAGGUUGUUAAUUUGGGAGAUAUCGAGAAUGUCAAGGAAACACGUAUCAGCGUGCAUUUGUCACCAUCAGAAAAGAAAGAGUAUACAGAGUUCCUAAUAGAACAUGAGGACAUCUUUGCCUGGUCUUAUGAUGAUAUGACUGGUCUCAGCACCUCUAUUGUAGCUCAAAAAUUACCAACAGAUUCGACAUGUCCGCCGGUGAAAUAGAAGCUCAGAAAGUUCAAACCCGACAUGAGUUUGAAAAUCAAAGAAGAAGUUGCCAAGCAAGUCAAAGCCAGAGUUCUUAGGGUAGUCACUACUACAAAAAGGACCUUUAGCGGCAAUAAAAAGCAGCAUUGGCGGCAAUAACAAUAUCCGUUAUAUUAUUUACCGGCAAUUGAUCUUUAGCCGAUGAUGCCGGGGUUGGUAAAGCCUUUAGCAGCAUUUCUGCUAAAAGCUGGUAAACGGUAUGAUUUAUUGCUGCUAAAACUCAUCUUCUUUAACGGCAAUUGUUUGCGGCAAUUAUUAUGGCUGCAAAACCCAUUAUAAAAACGACUAAUAAUGCUCCUUUAGCGUCCAUUUUUAUAGAUGCUAAAUUCAAAAUAAUUGUCGCUAAAAGUACAUAUCUUUAGGGGUAAUUGUUUUGUGGCAAUUAAUUAGCAACAAUAUCUCUUCUAAAAACGUAGUAGUAUGCCCAUUUAGCGUCCAUUUUAAUGGAUAGCAAAGUCAAUUAAAUUGCCGCUAACAAUCAUCUUUGAUAUCAAUUUAAUUGUUACAAUAUCCCUGUAUAAAUGUCUUAACCCUAUUAAACUGGCACUAAAAUUUACAAGCUAUAACGGUAAGUUUAGCCACCAUUAAUAAUAGCUACUACAUUGGACCAUAAAAUAAUGCAAAUAACAAAACAUAUUGAUAUUAAUUCAUAAAACUAUAGUAUAUCUCGUUAAAUCUUAACGAACAAAAAGAAGUACUAAUCAAAAAUAUUAAUAUCACAAAACCUUAAAAAUAACUCAUAUUGUUUGAAGUAAAUAGAUAAUGUCACUAUAUAACUAAUCGUAACGGAUAACAAUCUUCAAAUAAUCUCUGAAACUGUCAUAUUGAAAUCUUCCACCCGCUAAAUUAUCGAAAAUCAAAUUGUAUGGCCUGAAAUUAUAAAAUAACUAUGUCAAUAGGAAGUAAAUGUUGUCAAACAACAAAGCUGAUAAUAGUUUACGAGGUUAUGAAACUAAAAUCCAUAACCAGAAAGGGACACAAACAAAAUUGCAAGAAUCUACUUCAUUAGUGUCCCAAAAGUAUGUAUAGUCUCAUGUAUGAAGUAUUUUAGUAUAUAUGUAAAUACAUAUUACAUAUCAUACAAGAAAAUAUAUCAAAUAAGCCUUUUGAGCACUCUUCACCCAAAAUUUUCAGUUGGCAACAGAUUUUCUGCUAAGCAAAUCUUACUGCAUGAAUCUAGUUCGCUAUAGCUUAGAAAUUUAGAUCAAAAGAGUGGUAAUAAUGCAAGAAGGCAAGUGGAGUAGGGUAAUGGUUCUACAAAUUUUAACCAGCAGGAUCUAUUAAUAAUUUUGUCAAGUGACAAAGUUGUAGGUAUGUGGCAGGGAAGGACAAGGAGCAAUGGAAAGAUGUCAAGGAUAAUCGUAAUAAGAAGACAAACAACCAGAAUAAGAUGCAGACAACUACUGGAAAAGAAAUUGUUCCAGUCAAUAAGUAGAAAGACACAGGUGAUAGCAAGUAACAAGUUUGCACUACUGGGAACUGAGGAAGUUGAUCUUAAUGCAUAUAAUGUGGUGUCAAGGCAGGCUUAGGAUCCUAUGGGUUUGGAACAAAAGAUAGUGCAAGAUAAGCAGUUAGCAAUUGUUGAUGAGUCCAAGAAGUUGUUCAGCUAGAUAAGGUCUCUCCUGCAAAAGGAGGAAAACUAGGCAAAGAUAGUAGUCCAAAAAACUCUAAUGUUGAAAUUGGGAAAAGGCUGAAUCCUACAGCCCCUUCAUUUAGUCCUACAUCAAAGGGUAAUAAUGCAGAAAAUAAGGGUGUUAGCAAUGGUGAAUCAACAGUUGCCUGGGUGCAAAGGGCAUUUGGAGGAACUACUGUAGCUAUUAAUACUUCCUGCCGGGAGACUUCAUCUCAAGAUACUAGAGUGGAAGGACUACUGGCUCAAACUUUUGGCAAAACAAAUUCUGAUGUUGCAAUAACAAAACAGGAUGAUGAUGUAAACAAUGAUAAAGAGCAAGUCGAUGAAGCAGAUUUGAAAAAUUUAAAAGCAAUGAAAGGGUUAAUUGGAAAGGUGGUAGAUUAUGAUCGAAUAACUGUCAGUUUUGGCUUAAUAGCUUCUAUGUUUGAAUAAUUAUUGAACAACUUGAAGAUAUACUUAUUUUCACAGGGUUUUUUUAUUCAAUUAGAUGUUACUGGUGUUCAUCGCCUUAAAUUGUUUAUACACAAAACUACAUGUUUCAAACUGAUAUGCUCAAACAUUUCAGCGCAUCCAUGGGUCCGCGAAGGAGGUGAUGCAUAUGAGAUUCCACUGGACAUUUCCGUCUUAUCAAAAAUGCGACAAUUUGCCAAGUAUAGUUGAAUAACAGAAUUUGCUUUACGGGUAAACUCAUAGCUUCUUAUUUUGUUAACCUUUUUGUGGCAAAGUCAAAAUAAAAUGUACAAAACAUUAACUUCAUGAAAUUUCAUUACCUGACAGGCAUUGGAUAGCACAGUUGAUGAGGAGUAGCUAGCAGAUUAGGUGAAUGUAAGUCAAGAGAUCUAUUGUAAAGCCCAAGAAUAUUAGAUAUACCAGAUCUGCUCUGCAAAUGCACCUCGUGAAAGCCUUUUCCAUCCAUCAAAACAUCAGGAAACUGCCCUUGUAGAUCAAGGAACAUUCACCUCUUACUGUUGAUAAAGGAUUUAUAGAACUGAGGGCUCUUCAAGAAAUACUACAUUAAGCACAUAUAUUACCUUUUCUAAUUCUGCCCGACUCUGAGGAACCUGACCAAAAACCUUUGAUUUGUCCAUUCAAGGAAUUGUACUGCACUACAGACUGAGAACGAGUAGAUUGUUUCAUGCUACAAGGAGGAUCAGCAUCCUCAUUCAAGUUUCCCAAGGGAUGGUACUGAAACUUCGAAGGCCAAGAAUUUCUCAGACCACCAUGAUUAGACAACUUCUGCUUCCCCAUGAGAAGCCACCUAGAAUCACUGGCAUCUGAUAAUGUAUUUUCCCUAACCCCACCAGCAGAAGAAUGAGGGUGUGAGUUAGAGUGACAGCUGUCAUUUGAGUUAUCCUUCUUAUCACUGUCACCAACAUCCGGUGAUGAGUGCAAAACCUGGCUAUCUUUCAUAACAUGACGUUGUAAAACCCCCAAACUUUCACUGUUUUUCAUAGCAUUUGUCCAGUAAUUAGAUUGAUUAUUAUUUUGAAGAGAUUAUUUGCUUUCUUCAGCACCCUUCAUCAUACUUGAAUUUGGAAUUGUGGCAGAGUUAUAGAAGCUAAAGACCUCUGAAUUUCCCUACAGACUAGCCACAGAUGAUCCCACUUGCUCCAUACCAACUGCAGAAAUACGACAAGGACUAGAUUUCAAUGUCACACCAACAUGAAAGACUUCGUCUUGGAUGAAUUUGUUCUGAUUGUUGCCCUGCAAACGUUUUGAUGAUUUAUCACUUGAAAUACUUAACGCUGCAUCUCCAGAUGGUACUGCUGAUCCAAGAACACCCCAAUUAGCUGAAUUCAUCCACGGUUUCUAGCUCCACCAAGCUCAUCUGUCAAAUUACCAGAAACCCUUCUUGUAAUCAUCUCAGGGUCAAGAGGAUGUGAAGUAUUGCUAAAUUACUGGCUUGCUUCAGCAACUGAUGUCUGCAGUGGACCAAAAUCUGAUGACUUGCUUCCUCCAUCUGAUGAUUGGGUAAGUCUUAGAGAAUUCGUUUGCAUAUUCUGGCCUCACUCAUAUGGAAACAUAUGCUCCUGGACGUUGUUAAAGUUGUUGUUCAUAUUGGUGCUAUCACAGGGCUGAACAGAAAAAUUCAAGGAUGGGGCUAUGGGCAAUUUUUCUUUAGCAGAAGAUGCUUUAUGUCUCCCACUGUUGUACAUCAAAUUUUGAUUCCCUGAAGAAAUUUCAGUACUGUGAAAAUUCAAACCACUCCAUUCCUCCUGCGGGGCAACAUCACUGCUAGAAGCUUCUUCAACAGCAGACUGCAUAAGAGCACUCCAAGUACCCUUUAUUGUAAAUAUAACUACUUGAAUGAACAACCAUCUCUACCUCAAGCUCUAACAUAAGCACCAAAAGGAACAAACAUCAAUAAAAGUGAUUUAUAAUGCAAACAGCUAGACCCCAAAAUUGAAAAGAAGUAUCACACUUUAUGUACUGACAGAAGAAAUAAGAUGAAACCAAGGAAAACGGUAUGAGCUAAAGGAAUCAAAAUGAUAAAUGGCAAACUUGUCCAAAUAUGGAUAUCUAAAACAAAUUUGCUACUCAACAUCCCCACAAAAUUUAGUAUAAUUUCAGCACCAAAUAGUUAAUAAAAAGUCUUAAUCGGGAAAUAAGUAGGGAAAUACAUUAACAAGAUAAACUUUUUAACCUUUGUCAGCCUUGGCAGCUGUAGCAGCAGCUUGACCAUGAAGACAACCAAUCCUCCUUGCAGCAAUAAGACCAACCUUCUGCCCAGGUGGUGCAUCACGGCGGACAUCUAAACAUACUUGUCGAGGGUGUGACAACAGUGUCACAACAAUGUGCAAACUAAAAACCACAUGUCAUAGGUUAAAUGGCAAUAACAUUUUACAAGGAAAGUUGAAUGUAUUUCACACAAUUCAACACAAAAUGUUAAAAAAAGUGGAUAGUGUGGUAACCAGGACAAACCAGUUGUCAGUUCAUAAAAAUAUGAAACAUUACUGUGUUCAUAAUUUUGAUAAUAGAGCAUAUAUAUCUGAUAAAACAUCCUUACCUAAACAGGGACUCGAAAAUAACAGAAAUAAGUUGGCAAACAUGACAUUAUAGACCAGUAAAGCUUCACUCUUAAAUGGACAUUGGUGGCACAAACAACCUUCCCUCAACAAAUGCAAAGGUACAGACUACCAACUAAAAGUCUUCAGUACAAGGUUUAAGAUACGCGCAAAUCAAUUGGGAAUAAAACACACUGCUAUUGACCAAAAAAUGCACAACAAAUUAGAUAAAUUGGGAUUAAAAAAAACUGCUAUUCAUUCUGUGUAGGUUGUUUUCCAGUAGAUUAUUUAUCAAACCUAAAGUAUCUGCCUAACAAAUCGACCAUUAUAAAGUAAAGGUGCCAUAAGAAUCAUGUAGAAAGGUACUAUAGCACCAAAUUACACAGCCAUCACAUAACCAAGUAAAGCAUUAUAACCACUUGCCAUUGAUUAAUUACUAAUAUUAACUAAUAACAACAUAUUAAGUAAAGGAGCGAUUAAUAUAUGCCUAGUAGUGCCAUGAGAUGGCUGAGCAUUUUCAGCAACACUAGGCAUCUUUGAUGUUUGUGGUACUCGUUCAUGUCCACUAUUGGCAUCAAGGAUCUAAUAAAAAUUAACAGGUUAGAUAUACUUUUAUAUGAUUAUAACGUCAAUAAAAAUGUUUAAAGCUUAUGAAAUGGAGUUACAUGUUCAUCCUGAGGUGCCAUUACUACUUUGAGGCAUAAGCGGCCGAAACAAACUUCCUAAAUCAGGAUUUUCUACAUCCAAAUAAUAACAUGACUUUUACCAAAUUAAUGUACACAUAAUCUAUUGUAAAUCAAUCGACAAGAAUCAAUCCAAAAUUUACUGUAAAUCGAUUUCCAAAGACUGAUUUAACAGGGAGAAAAGAGGAGUUAAAAGGGGAAAAGGAUAAACGGACACCACGACAUGCUGUUGAACAGCGAGUUAGGAACUGAUUUACUGUAAAUCAAUCGACCAACAUCAAUAAAAAUCUACUAUAAAUCGAUAGGAAAAAGAGAAGUUAAUUUACUGUAAAUCGAUUGUAAAUCAUAGAGAAGAGAAUUUAUCUGGGGAAAUAUGGGCUGCCGUUGACUCACUCGCACUGACGUUGACACAUUAUAAAUUGCACUACCGUUGACGCAACAGCGAGUUAGGUUUUUCCGGUAGCGAAGUCGAUUCAAGAGGGAAAUCUAUUCUAGUGUAAAUCAAUUGUAAAUUGAAGAGAAGAGAAUUUACCUCGGGAAACAUUGGGCUGCCGUUGACGCACUUGCACUGCCGUUGACACACUGUAAAUUACACCGCCGUUAACAUGGCCGCUUGUUAGGUUUUGCAGUAGCGAUUUAGGAUUGUUUUGUUGUUUUUCGUUCAACUAGGGAGUGAGACUUUUCCGUUUUUGUUCUGUGGUUUUCUAAUUGGGGAGGGAAACAUAAAAGUAUCCAAAAAAAAUUGAGGGAAAGAUUUUCAUUUUUUUCAUGCGGAUAGUUAAAAUAAUUAAAAGAUUAAUUUUCAUAAGUACUUUUUAGUAGCUAUUCUUUUUUAUUGUUAUCUUUUUACUGCCUAAUAAUCAUAUGCCUCUAAUAUUUAAACUUAAAGAAUUUAUUAGCGACCAUUGCCUUAUUGUCGCGAAUUAAUAGACGCCAAAGACCUUUUUGUAGUAGUGAGUGGAGUAUCCGACAUGGUUAGCCAACGUCAUGCCAGUACCGAAGAAGGAUGGGAAGGUUAGAGUCUAUGUUCACUACCGGGAUCUCAACCGGGCCAGUCCCAAAGAUGACUUCCUCAUGCCAAAUAUACACAUCCUGAUGGACAACUACGCCAAGCAUGAGCUGCAGUCGUUCGUUGAUUGUUUUGUGGGAUACCAUCAGAUAUGGAUGGAUGAAGAAGAUGCAGAGAAAACAACUUUUAUCACGCCAUGGGGAUGUAUUGUUACAAAAUGAUGUUGUUUGGUUUGAAGAAUGCCGGUGCCACUUACAUGAGAGCCAUGACUACCAUCUUUCAUGACAUGAUACACAAAAAAUUGAAGUGUAUGUGGAUGACAUCAUCAUCAAAUCCAAAAUAGCCGCGGAUCACAUGGAAGACUUGAGAAAAUUCUUCAACAGGAGAAGAUACAAUUUGAAACUGAAUCCCGCCAAAUAUGCAUUCGGGGUUCCUGUUGGAAAGUUACUUUAUUUCAUUGUGAGCCGCCGGGGAAUAGAAUUGGAUCCGUCAAAGGUCAAGUCCAUUCAGGAAUUGCCAUCGCCAAAGAACAAGAAGGAUGUGAUGAGUUUUCUGGGAAGACUCAACUAUAUCAGUUGGUUCAUAGCUCAGUCCACUGUUAUUUGUGAACCUAUCUUCAAGAUGUUGAAGAAGGAUGUUGCCACCAAAUGGACUGAUAAGGAAUAUUUGUCUACACCGACAGUCUAGGUUACGCCUGAACCAGGGAGACCUCUAUUGCUCUACCUCGCAGUACUGGACGGAGCAUUCGAUAUUUUUUUACGAUAUCAUGAUGAAAUGGGGAGAAAGGGGCAAGCAACCUACUACCUCGGCUGGAAGUUUACCCCAUACGAGGCUCGGUAUUCCUUAUUUAGAAUGAACUUGUGCUCUAACUUGGGUAGAUCAGAAAUUGAGGCAUUAUUUCUGUGCCUACACCACUUAUCUUAUAUAUCCAUAAUGAACCCGCUGAAGUAUAUCUUCCAGAAGCCUAUGCCUACUGGCAAGCUCGCUAAAUGGCAAAUCCUGCUAAGUGAAUUAGACAUUAUUUAUGUCACUCGAAGGCAGUCAAAGGACAAGAUUUGGCAGAUCACCUCACCGAGAAUCCUGUGGACGGAGAAUACGAGCCUCUAAAGAUGUAUUUUCCUGAUGAAGAGGUAUCUUUAUAGGAGAAGAUAUUGCGGAAUCCUAUGAUGGUUGGAGGAUGUUUUUCGAUGGAGCCGCAAACUUCAAAGGAGUUGGCAUAGGAGCAGUCCUGGUAUCAGAAACCGGUCAGCACUACCCGGUGUCCGCCAAGCUCAAGUUCCCAUGCACCAACAACAUGGCCGAGUACAAAGCCUACAUCUUGGGGCUUAAACUGGCCAUUGAUAUGAACAUUCAAGAGUUACUAGUGAUUGGAGACUCGGACCUACUCAUACAUUAGGUUCGAGAGGAAUGGGAAACCAAGAAUUCUAAGAUACUCCUUUAUUUGCAUCACUUGCAGGAGUUGAGGAAGAGAUUCACAAAAACCAAAUUCCAGCAUGUUCCCAUAAUACAAAAUAAGUUUGCUGAUGCACUAGCUACUUUGUCAUCCAUGAUUCAGCAUCCAGAUACAAAUUUCAUUGAUCCCAUCCAGGUCAAUAUUUAUGACCAACCAUCUUAUUGUGCUCAUGUUUAGGAAGAAGAAUAUGGAAAAUCGUGGUUCCAUGACAUCAAAAAAUACUUUACAACAGGGGAAUACCCAGAGCUUGCCAAUGCUACUCAGAAGUGCACGCUUCGGAGGCUAUCCAACAACUUCUUUCACAAUGGAGGAAUCCUGUAUAGGAGGACUCCUGAUUUGGAAUUGCUAAAAUGUGUCGAUGUUAGAGAAGCAACCAAACUAUUGGAUGAAAUGCACGCAGGGACCUGUGGACCGCACAUGAACAGUUUUGUACUAGCAAAGAAGAUACUUCGAGCAGGGUACUUUUGGAUGACUAUGGAAACGGACUGCAUCCAGUAUGUUAGAAAAUGCCAUCGUUGUCAGAUACAUGCAGAUAUGAUAAAGGUGCCUCCAAACGAGCUUACUACAAUAAGCUCACCAUGGUCGCGCGCCACUUGGGGAAUGGAUGUUAUCAAACUGAUCGAGCCUUCCGUAUCAAACGGGAACAUGUUCAUAGUAGCGGUAAUUUAUUACUUCACCAAAUGGGUCGAAGUAGCAUCAUACAAAGCAGUGACCAAGAAAGUUAUGGCAAAUUUUGUCCGCGACCGUAUUGUUUGUUGGUUCGAAAUUUCGGAAUCAAUCAUUAUUGAUAAUGGUUUUAAUCUCAACAUCGACUUGAUAAAAGUAAUGUGUGAAACCUUCAAAAUCAAACACAAGAACUCCACAGCCUACAAGCCUCAAAUGAAUAGAGUUGUGAAAACAACCAAGAAGAAUAUAAAGAAGAUAACUAAGGAAGAUGGUCGAAAGGCACAAACAAUGGCACGAGAAGUUAUCAUUCGCCUUAUUGGGAUACCGAACCACAGUCUGCACAUAAACCGAGGCAACAUCCUACAUGCUGGUUUAUGAUACAGAGGCGAUCAUUGCCGCCGAGGUAGAAAUUCCAUCUUUGUGGGUCAUACAAGAAACAGAGUUAGAUGAUGCAGAAUGGGUAAAAGGUCGCUACGAGAAGUUAGCCCUUAUAGAUGGGAAAAGGAUGAACGCAGUUUGCCACAGUCACUUGUAUCAAAAUAGAAUGUCCAUAGCCUUCAAAAAGUUCGCACCGGGGCAGCUGGUGCUGAAGAAAAUAUUUCCACAUUAAGAUGAAGCCAAUGGGAAGUUCUCUCCCAAUUGGCAGGGUCCGUACAUGGUUCACCGGGUUCUAGCUGGAGGAGCCCUUAUUCUUGCAGAAAUGGACGGAGAAGUCUGGCCGAAGCCAAUCAAUUCUGAUGCAGUGAAACGAUACUAUGUGUAAUCAUGCAUUUUCUAUUCAUGAUGUAAUUUGAACUACGGCCGACGCGAUUCCUGUUUAAGAGGAGAUAGGUAGGCAACCCUAUGGGUUCGGUCACAAUUUAAUAAAAAUUCCAUUUUCCCCUACUAUCGGAACUGGGAUAGAAUUUUGAGAAGGGACCUCAAAAUUCCAAAGUCAGUUUUUCAGGCUUUUCAUCGCCAAAGGCGCCAGCCCAGUAAAACCGGGGUGAAAUUUUAAGGAGGACCCAAUACUAUGUAUAAUCAUAUGUUUUCUUCAUGAUGUAAUUUGUAAUACGUGUGACCUGAUUUCCGUUUAAGAGGGGAUACAUAGGCAGCCCUAUGGGUUCGAUCACAACUAAAUAAAAUUCUAUUUUUUACCCGCUAUUGGAACCGGGGCAGAAUUUUGAGGAGGACCUUCAAAAUUCCGAAGUCAGUUUUCAGCCUUUUCAUUGCUAGAAGCACUAACCUAGUAAAUUCUGAGGUUGAUCAGUUUCAAUCAUUCAUUACAACGGUCAGAAGCGCCAGCCCAGUAAACUAGGGCAGAAUUUUGAGGAGGACCCUCAAAAUUCUGGAGCAAGUAAGGUUGCAAUGUCUUGAACCACGUUGCGGUCGUUGGUUCAUCCGAAGGAAAAAUCCUUUUUUUAAAUAUAUACUUACAUUAUAUCUACUAAAUCAUGCAUAACUAUCAUUUGAACCACUGUCAUUUAGCAACGCUACCCCAAUGAUACGCGACGUCAGGAACCAUGGGAAGAUGAACUAAGAUUUCCCCUUUAUAGAACUCACGAUUUUUUCUUUGGAUGCAGUUCACAAAUCAUCUGAAUACAUUCACACACGCGUACUUUCCGAGAAAGAAACUAUCAGAACAAUCGUUUAUUCAAAAUUAUUGUCCGCGCACAACGUCCUCAGGAGUCACUAUAUCGUAAUCGACGAUUAGCUAAGAAAUUUUACCGAUAUUCGCCUCUUUACAUUCUUGCAUUGCAUGAGGCUACUUAUCUUCCUUUCGAGACUAAGAACUGUCUCCAUCUACAUUUUGCAUAAGGCUACUUAUCUACCUUCUAGGGUUAACCUCUACCUCUAUCCUGCAUAAGGCUACUUAUCUGCCUUUCGAGACUAAGCACUGUCUCCAUCUGCAUUUUGCAUAAGGUUACUUAUAUGCCUUCCGAGGUUAAGCUCUACCUCCAUCAUGCAUAAUGCUACUUAUCUGCCUUUCGAGACUAAGCUCUGUCUCCAUCUUGUAUGGUGCAUUAGGCUACUUAUCUUCCUUUCGUGGUUGAGCUCUAUCUCCAUCCUACAUAAGGCUACUUAUCUGCCUUUCAAGACUAAGCAUUGUCUCCAUCUGCAUUUUGCAUAAGGCUACUAUCUGUCUUUCGAGGUUAAGCUCUACCUCCAUCAUGCAUAAGGAUACUUAUAUGCCUUUCGAGACUAAGCUCUGUCUCCAUCCUGCAUGGCUGAAAUAUCGCCACUUUAUUUUUGAACGGCUGCAACUUCACUAUCUACAUUUAAAUUUUCGCUUUGGCUGAAAGAUCGCCACCCUUUGCAUUCAUCGGCUGAAAGAUUGCCACAUUCUCAUGGGCUGAAAGACCGCCAACUUAUUCAAAGGCGUCAUAGUUUGGAGGCACCAUCUGCAUAGCCCGAGAACACCAUUUUAUGGCCUGCGAAUUUUUAUGUUUGUGCUCUUCAUGGCCUAGGACAUCAUACUCUGAGGACGUCACCCUAACCGUCCAAAGACAACAUUCAUGGUCCAACAGGAACUUGCAUCACGUUUAUAUUAUACACAAUAUACACCACACUGCUCACUUGUAGGUACUGGCUAGCAAACGGCCGUCUCAGCAAGAGCAAUUCCGCUCCGACUCUCCGCAGCCUAUUCGACUCAAAACACCUUUUCCCAAUCCAAACAUCGCGUCCAUUCUUUUCAAGUAUCAAUCGGCAUAUUCCGCCAAUGGUUCCUGAACUACAUAUGGGCUGGUUUCUAUAAAACCAGGGAUAUAUAGGUAGCUGAGAAGCCAGAUCUCUAUCAAAAUUCUUUCCAAUCACCGAUCCAGUCAAAAUUGGUCAUCUUGUCUUUACCCGACAACUCUUUCAUCCUUCUCGGGUAAAGAGUGGUAGCUGUUGAUACCCAAAUUUUCCCUAUGUAUUUUUAUAUACCCAAAAUACUUUCAAAAUAGUCUAUAUGUGCAUCUAUAAGCACAUCAAGGUCUUGGCCAUUUUCAUGAUUUUUAAACCAAUUUAUUGACUGUUGUUUUACCACAAAAUCCAAUAAUUAUUCCUAAAUUUAUCAUUUUGGUGAACAAUCUAUUUUAUUCUCAUAUUUACAUCAAAACGUAGCUUACAUUAUUUUUAAACAUUUUUCCAAAUUCGUUUGGUAUUUUUAAAACCAAAAUGCAUGUAAUUGCAAUACUAGCCUCCUUAAGAUUAAAUGGAAUUUUAUAAUUAUAAAAAUUAGUUUCAAUAUUUCUAAAUUAAUAUUUAUAUAUUAUUAACUGAAUAAGAACCUUUAAUUUACCUUUAAAACUUUUUUUACUAUUUUUUAUAAAAUAAGAGUGAAAAACUAGCUAUUUAAUAUCUAGCCUCAUUUCAUUUUAAUUAUAACCCCAAUUUCAUUUCAAUUUCAACCUGAAAUCAAUCCAAUUUCUAACCCAAUUGGACCAGCCUAAUUCAUUUAAGCCCAACCCCUUAACCCAUUUAGCCGACCAGCCCGAAAAUCCUUUAGUUAAGACCAUUGAUCCUUUUGAUAACGGCCACAAUAAAUCUUUUCCUUUUAAUUCCACCUACCCCAACCCUAACCCCUCAUUCAUCUUCAACAGCCGCCUCUGAAACCCUUUCCUCCUCUCAAACUCUCUCGAAGGGUCUUGAAACCCUAGCCCUUCUCACCAUUCUUCGACCUCAAUCUUACCUGAGUCCAUGGCUUCCCAAGCCAUGGACGACAUGUGCUUACCUUCCUUCACCCCUAAGUCAUGGGUGUUAGAGAUUUCAAGGUCUGACUUCGAUAGCGUCCAUUUAGAUCCUCUACAAAUCUUUGGUUCUAUGGCCUCUCCGGUUUCACUCUUGUGUAUUUGAGAUUUAGGAGCCUAUCUAUGGAUAUCUCCGACUCGAGACCACACUUUCUUCCAAGCCUUCUUAUUUCUAGGGUUUCAGAGAAACCCUAAAGCUAUUUGAGGCUCCUUCUUCUUUUAUUUGCCUAGAUCUGGGGUGAAUCUAUGCUAUCUUCAAUCUUUUAAGCUUUUCCCCCAAUUUUUAUUUCAAAAUUAGUUUGUUUUCGAUUUAGGGUUUUCGGAAAAGUCUCAAAACGACUUCUGUCUUUUCUUCUUAUUUUCUUUAUGUGAAUCUGUCUAUGCCAUAUUCAUAUGCAUUUUCUCUUGUGUCCUUAUGUUUGUCGUGUUAUGAAUGUACUUCUAUUUUUUGUUCUAUGUUCUUUCUUCUACUGGUCUCUAUAAGCAUGCUUUUACAUGUCUAUCUCGUAUGUUCCUUUACUGUAUUUUUUACUGAGUUUUUAAUCCUUGUUUGCCUUUACGGGACUUUCGUUUUAAGCUCUAAGCAUGCUUCAUCUACUGUUUUCCUAAUCAUAUGUCGCAUCUUCUCUUCAGAACUUAUUUGGGUGACAAGCUGUGCUUAAAUGUGUUCCCUGUGUUUCAAAUUAGUUUCCACACUCUAUUUGCCUUGAACCUGUUGUUCUCUUUGUUUUUUUUCUCAUAAGUCUCUGAAAGAGACUACUGAGUCUGCUCUAGUUGUUUUCUUCUCGUCUAUGCAUCUGAUUUGAGUCAGAAACCCUAAUAUUUGGGGGAUUUCUGGCAGGCUUGAUCUUAUGUUUGGAUUAGGGUUCUAUUCAGAAUCCUUGACUCUUUCAGACUCAUUCUAAGUCUAUGAACUGAACCUUCUUUGUUAUGACCCUGUAUUUUCUAUACGAUUCUCCCUUGUUUGUGUUAUUUGUGUGCUUUAUAUAUGAACCUUUCUUUCAAAAGGCUUUUUGCCAACUUGUGAUUGAUUACGAACUCCUUUUUCUAAGGUUUGAUUAAGUUCUACUGAUUUUCUUAAAUUAAACCUCGUUUCACCUUUUUCUGGUUGGAUUCAUUCGUUCCAAGACUCAAAUCCUGAUUUUUUAAUGCAUGAUAAUUGAUUUCCUUUCCUUAUUUGUCCAAACCGUGUACUACUAGACUCCUGCCUUAAAUAAAUUUUUGUGUUUCUACCCUUAUUGUACUGCUUUGGAAAGGGUUUUUGAACCAAACCCUUUUCUUAAUUAUCCUACCCGUUUGAAUCAAAUCCCUUGACUGAAGGGAAAUUAUUGAAACUGAUUUUCAAAGUUAUUUUCUUACCUCUUUCUACUCUUUUUCUGCACUAUAAACGGGGGCUACCCUUUUGCACUUGACAAUAAGAUUGACACGCUUUAACACUGAAGUUUUCACAAUAAAAUUGCAUUCUCACUCAUAGUAUUAAGCACUGUACUUUCUACUCUCUUCUUCUCUAUACUUCUACUCCUUGCUUUCUGAAACAACUUUGAGUUCUCUUCGAGCUUUCAAGAGUUCUGCUGAAAUUUGAGUUUGCUCCUGUUGUUUUAAUUAAUUUGAUUGCUCUGUUAUUUUGCUUAUUUUUACUUUGCAACUGGUAUGUUCUUCCUAGUUAAAUAAUGCUCCUUCAUUUCAAGUGUUCUACUGAAAUUUGAGUUUGCUCCUGUUGUUUUACUUACUGUGAUUGCUCUGUUAUUCUGCUUAUUCUUACUUUGCAACUGGUAUGUUCUUCCUAGUUAAACAAUGCUCCUUCACUAUGUGUUUACAUCCUAGUCUGUUAUGCUUUCUUUCAAUAUGUUUCUUCCAUUACUGUACUUAUGUGAAUCCCUUACACCAUACCCCUUUGUGUGUGAGUUGUGGUUCCAGCCAUAGC
RNAcentral lists this long non-coding RNA (23560 nucleotides) under Nicotiana benthamiana. RNAcentral describes it as "long non-coding RNA (NBEN_LNC015084)". Lineage: Eukaryota; Viridiplantae; Streptophyta; Magnoliopsida; Solanales; Solanaceae. The record is from RNAcentral.